This is a long non-coding RNA of Arachis ipaensis, 1883 nucleotides long. RefSeq lists it as uncharacterized. Lineage: Eukaryota; Viridiplantae; Streptophyta; Magnoliopsida; Fabales; Fabaceae. The record is from RefSeq and is a predicted model, not a curated record.
CAGCUCUUCUUCCUCCCUGGUAAGGGAAUCACGUUGAAAAUCAAAACGGGGAGAAGAGAGAGAGAGCUCCAAACCCUUGUCCAACUUCAAUCUUCCAUAUCUUUUGAUCCGGAGCUCCGAUUGACGAGCCGUCAGCAGCCACGCGUUUGUCUUGAAAUUUGCUACAAUGCCCACUAACCAAUUUGGUUCGAAUUAGCUCGCAAAAAUUAGCGAGUUUUUGUUUAUUUGAGACACAGGUAAGAAUUAGAUUGAAUAAUAUUGAAUCGGAGUAUAUUGAUGAUGUUGGGAGCUUGAUUGUUGGACCUUGGUGGCCAAAAAUUCUGUUUGGAGAGGCUUUGGGGCUGUGGACUCUUGAGAAACGACCUUAAGAUGUCUUUGGAUUUUACGAGGAAUUGGCUAAGGACUCGUGUAUGCGAGUGUACAUGCGACGCAACCAUUUGGUUCGGCCAGACGUGCUUGCGUACGCAGGAGUAUGUCGCGUACGCGAGAAGAAGAAAAUUCAUAUGCCGCAUACGCGGGCGCAUGCACGCGACAUGAGCUAACCUUUCGGGCCAAGGAGACUCGCGUACGCGAGUUGGGAGAAACACACUUCUGCGUACGCAUUACAUGGUUCGCAUACGCGGGGCGCUAUUUUUCAGUAAUUGGAAGUUUUGUGUUUUAAACAUGUUUUGAGCCUCUAAACCUCUAUUUCUAUCCUCUAAGACCCUAAACCUUAGUUGUAAUGAUAGAAAAAGGGGUUGAACUAUGAAGGGAUAUUAACUUGGAAGUAAAGAAAUGUUUGAAGUAAUAAAUUGUGGUUGGGAAAGUGCAGGAUUGAUGAUGAUGUAUGAUUAAUGACAGGAUUGAGAAUGAUAAGGUUUUAAAUUGUGAUGUGAUUAAAUUGAGAGGUGAAUGUUGAGAUUAGCACUAAUUGAGUAUGGCCGGAAUGGUCGAGAUAGCAAGAUCUGAGUGUGAUCCUACCUGUGAGUUAACUGAAAACUUUAUCGAGUGGCAAGUUCAUCGAUGAAGGAUCCCCUCUCUUGUCGUGACGUGGAUGUGGAGAAGGUGGAAAGGCACGCUCCUUCGAUGUGAAAAGGAACUCUCCUUCGUAUUGUUUCACCCUUCGUAACGUGGAUGUGGAAAAUGUUUGAGAGAAGACUUGCUACUAAUCAAAGCAAUGGCAAGAAGAUAUGGUGGUUCUGUGUGAAAUUCAUAUGUGAAAAAUAGGUGUUCUUAUGUGAGUUCUUGAGUGCUGUAAAAAAUGUUACAGCUGAAGUAUAAGGAGUAGAAAAUAAUGUUGUCCAAUUUAUUUUUGAAGAAGCAAUAACAUCAGUAGAGGAGUUUGUCAUUGUCAUCACGAGUCAAAUCUUGGUACACUGGUCAACAAACAAAAACCUCAAAAAUUAGCAUCUCAACUUUGAACGAAAUAGGUUGAUGAACCUAAUAAAGCAUGGAGUAUUAAGAUACUUUAGCCACCUGAAUAAGUAGAGAAGUAUUGCAAGAGUAUCAGAAACUAUGAGGGUAACAUGGUAUAAUAAUUUUUAAUUUUAUCAAAGAAAGGUAGUAUACAUGGUUGAAAUUAAAGGGAUGUAAAUUAGGAUUGUUAUUUUCUACUAUAUAUGGUAUAUAAAGUGAGAUGUUUAAUUACUCUCAACUUGGAACCAGGAGUCUAGAAUUAGGUACACUAUUCGACAGAAGUGUAUGGAACAAUGGCUUAUAUAUAUGAGGUUGUUUGGUGUUAGCAAAGAAAGAUGUCAUUAGAGGGUGUUAAGAGGAGAUAUUGCAUUUGAUGUGAAUAGCUUCAAUUAUUAUGAGUAUUAAUUUCUGCAGGAAGGUGAGAUAUGAAUAUUUGAUUUGGCAUUUAUCAUUGAAAAUCUAUGAAAUUUUUGGAAGGUGAAAUUAAA